GGCAAGGUGGCCGAGCGGUCUAAGGCGCGCGGUUAAGGCUUUCCAAAUUCGGAUCCCUUUAAUCUUGAUAUUUCAAGUUUCCGCGUCAUUAAUUUGGCGUGGGUUCGAAUCCCACCCUUGUCA
Non-coding RNA from Aspergillus egyptiacus, 123 nucleotides. The record is from the annotation of a GenBank genome assembly. Lineage: Eukaryota; Fungi; Ascomycota; Eurotiomycetes; Eurotiales; Aspergillaceae.